UGGUUUUGGCGAUGUAUUAACCGACCAAACCGUUGACAAGAAGCAGCUCAUCGACGACGUGAGGAAGGCUCUCUACGCGUCGAAAAUCUGCAGCUACGCGCAAGGGAUGAACCUAAUCCGCGCCAAGAGCAUGGAGAAAGGGUGGGGCCUUAAGCUAGGCGAGCUGGCGAGGAUCUGGAAAGGAGGGUGCAUCAUCAGAGCAAUCUUCUUAGACAGGAUCAAGCAAGCUUACGACAGGAACGCAGAGCUGGCUAACCUCUUGGUGGAUCCCGAGUUUGCGAAAGAGAUCAUCGAGAGGCAGUCGGCUUGGAGGAGAGUGGUCUGCUUGAGCAUCAACUCGGGUAUUAGCACUCCUGGUAUGUCUGCGAGUCUGGCGUACUUCGAUUCUUACAGGAGAGAGAGGCUGCCGGCGAACCUUGUACAAGCUCAGAGAGAUUACUUUGGUGCUCAUACUUAUGAAAGGACUGAUGUUGAAGGUUCUUUCCACACCGAGUGGUUCAAGAUCGCAAGACAAUCCAAAUCCAACAUGUAAUGAUGAUGUUUCACUCUCCGUUUCUCUCCUUC
Molecule: long non-coding RNA, 564 nt
Filed under: Brassica rapa (field mustard)
Lineage: Eukaryota; Viridiplantae; Streptophyta; Magnoliopsida; Brassicales; Brassicaceae
Description: long non-coding RNA (BRAP_LNC003953)
Source: RNAcentral